CUUAAGAAAAAAAUGGAAGAAGCAGAACAACUCCCACUCUCACCAAUACUCCCUAGCGACGGCGAAGCCCGGCGGAGAAUAUGCACAGCAGGCUGCGAUCGUCCUGUGAAAGUAUGCUUGUGUGAUAAACUCCCUCACCAACCACUUUCAACCGCCACACAAAUAGUAAUCUUACAACAUCCUCAUGAACAACGCCAAAAACUGGCAACAGUUCCAGUUCUUAGAAAAUGCCUCAAAAAUUGCCAAAUCAUAAUUGGUAGGAAACUUCGCAAAGGCUCCUCACCUCUUCUCGAUAAUCUCUACCAUUCUGGAGCUGAUUCUACACCGCUUCGUCGCGCUGUCUAUCUUUUUCCUGGCACAGAAUUGAUGCCUUCGGUAGAUAUUGGUGAGUGGAGAUCAUCAUCAAACAGUGAGUGCAUAGAUGGAUUUGUUCUAAUUGUAUUUGACGGUACUUGGAAACACGCUAAGGAGAUGAUGUAUGCAAGUCUUCCAUUUUUAUCUAAAUUUGCAACUUGCAUAUGUUUUGGUUGUGAUUACGAUGUUGGUGGUGGGAGCAUAUACAAUUCAGAUCUAAUUUUAAAGAAGGAACCAUAUAAAGGGUGCAUGAGUACCAUGGAGGCUGUUGCUCGCGUUUUGAGAUUUCUUGAGCCAGCUGGGUUAGAAGUUGAAGCAAAGCUGGUUGAGGUUUUGAAGUCAAUGGUUCGUCUACAGGCAUGCUAUUUAAAGCCUACAAAACCACGGCCAAAGUUGUUAAAGAAGGGUAUGGAGCCGGAAGAUUAAUAUUGAAGCAGCAUGUGAGUGAAUAGUGAUUACUGAAUUCUUAUCUUUGAUCAGCCACUUUGGAUCAAAAAUCGAUGACAAGAGGUUACACAACAAAGAGGUUCUUUAACGCAAGCAGCAAAACCUUGUAAUCCUGUCAUUACAAGAAAUGUGGUGCACUUGGCCUGGAAGAGAUCAUUGGUGCAAUUUUUCAUGUGGAAUACAAAUUGCAGAAUGUAUUCUGUAGAUACAUGAUAAAAAGACGGAACUUGCUUGAUACAACUACUGGAGCACUUUUUUUUUAGCAUGCUAAAUCAUGUAAAUGAACUUUUUGUUAGCUGAUUUUAUGGGGUAUUGAGUGAAGGCACUACUUGUUACUUUCAUCAACAUCUGUAAUACACCCUUGGUUUACUGAAGUGAAUGAGGGUGAAAGGCAUCGGAAGUAGCUACUCUUUUUAGAGAUUGGAACGGAAGCUAAUAUAGGCAUGUUUGGCAAAUAGAGUCUAGAGUUUAACUGUUAAGAGUUUAAAGUUUGUUGUUAGAGUUUUAACUUUUUGUUCAGCAAAUUUGACGGUUGAUUUGACAACUUUUUUCUAUA
RNA transcript from Beta vulgaris subsp. vulgaris (sugar beet), 1357 nucleotides. It is a transcript of the gene named tRNA-uridine aminocarboxypropyltransferase A, with no coding region annotated. The transcript is spliced from 3 exons. Lineage: Eukaryota; Viridiplantae; Streptophyta; Magnoliopsida; Caryophyllales; Amaranthaceae. The record is from RefSeq and is a predicted model, not a curated record.